AGUGGCAGAUAUAUGCCUGGAUUUUAAGCGUCCAAUAUGAGAUUAUUCUCCUU
Molecule: transfer RNA, 53 nt
Filed under: Aegista aubryana
Lineage: Eukaryota; Metazoa; Mollusca; Gastropoda; Stylommatophora; Camaenidae
Description: tRNA-Leu
Source: RNAcentral